Molecule: ribosomal RNA, 468 nt
Filed under: uncultured bacterium
Lineage: Bacteria
Description: partial 16S ribosomal RNA
Rfam family: Bacterial small subunit ribosomal RNA
Source: RNAcentral
GACGAACGCUGGCGGCGUGCUUAACACAUGCAAGUCGAACGGAAAGGCCCUGCUUUUGUGGGGUGCUCGAGUGGCGAACGGGUGAGUAACACGUGAGUAACCUGCCCUUGACUUUGGGAUAACUUCAGGAAACUGGGGCUAAUACCGUAUAGGAGCUCCUGCUGCAUGGUGGGGGUUGGAAAGUUUCGGCGGUUGGGGAUGGACUCGCGGCUUAUCAGCUUGUUGGUGGGGUAGUGGCUUACCAAGGCUUUGACGGGUCGCCGGCCUGAGAGGGUGACCGGCCACAUUGGGCCUGAGAUACGGACCAGACUCCUACGGGAGGCAGCAGUGGGGAAUAUUGCACAAUGGGCGGAAGCCUGAUGCAGCAACGCCGCGUGCGGGAUGACGGCCUUCGGGUUGUAAACCGCUUUCGCCUGUGACGAAGCGUGAGUGACGGUAAUGGGUAAAGAAGCACCGGCUAACUACGUG